Molecule: ribosomal RNA, 460 nt
Filed under: uncultured bacterium
Lineage: Bacteria
Description: partial 16S ribosomal RNA
Rfam family: Bacterial small subunit ribosomal RNA
Source: RNAcentral
CCUACGGGUGGCAGCAGUGAGGAAUAUUGGUCAAUGGACGAGAGUCUGACCCAGCCAAGUAGCGUGAAGGAUGACUGCCCUAUGGGUUGUAAACUUCUUUUAUAAAGAAAUAAAACGAGGCACGUGUGCCUUUUUGCAUGUACUUUAUGAAUAAGGAUCGGCUAACUCCGUGACAGCAGCCGAGGUAAUACGGAGGAUCCGAUCGUUAUCCGGAUUUAUUGGGUUUAAAGGGAACGUAGAUGGGUUGUUAAGUCAGUUGUGAAAGUUUGCGGCUCAACCGUAAAAUUGCAAUUGAUACUGGCAGUCUUGAGUACAGUUGAGGUAGGCGGAAUGCGUGGUGUAGCGGUGAAAUGCUUAGAUAUCUCGAAGAACCCCGAUUGCGAAGGCAGCUUACUAAACUGUGACUGACAUUGAUGCGCGAAAGUGUGGGUAUCAAACAGGAUUAGAUACCCUUGUAGUC